Molecule: long non-coding RNA, 1964 nt
Organism: Neoarius graeffei (lesser salmon catfish)
Lineage: Eukaryota; Metazoa; Chordata; Actinopteri; Siluriformes; Ariidae
Exons: 2
Source: RefSeq, a predicted model, not a curated record
AAUCAUUUUUCAGGGAACCAAAUUAAGUAGCAUCUCAAAGUGUUAAAGAGCAAACAAUGAGCUUUUGGGCUGAAUAACAUUUCAACUUUAAGAUCAGUAUUAUGCUUGGUUUGUUAUGUGAAGGAUUUUGUCUUGUGCUGUGUGAAACUUUGAAAAACAAAUUUGACAGUCCUUCAGGCUUCUCAAAUGCAAAAUAGUAGAGGUAAACUGGCAUAGUUAAGCUGGUUAAAAAAAAGACUAGUUUUUAAAAUAUCAAUUCACUUUCUACUCAUCUACUUCUACUGUUGUCUCUACAUAGACAUGGCUGAAUAGUAUAAAUUUUGUUAAGACAAAGUCUAUUGUGUUUCAUCAGUGAAUUUCUCACAUUUCACACGUACAUUUGUCUGUGGUUUAGGUCCUGUUGCCUAGACUUAGGGUUAGUUGAAGAGCUCAGUAGCAUUUGCAUAUUUUGGGAGGAACAGAGAAAUGUUUCAAGAGACACCAGUUUUAACCUUAUAAGAUGCUGAUAUGGAGGCAAAGUAAUAUGUUAUUGUAGAUAUGUACAUUUUUACUGAAGCUUGUCUAUAUAAAGAUGCUGUACUGUAUCAUUUCUGUUCACAUGUAUAUAAAGAAGUCACCAUUUUUUGUCAUUACAUACAGCAUAUGAACAAUAAGUGUGCAGAGUAUAUUCACUCAAGCUUAGGACAUUAGAGUUAGGCAUCAUUGUCGGCGAACACUAUCACUUUCUAUACAAUACCAACUGUCGUGCCUCACAGCUAACACUUAGAUUAGACUUCUGCUCUUUUGCCAAUACGAAACUUGCUAUUGAGGAAAGAGCCAAUUGAAAGCUACUGCUCUUCAGAAAUGGGUGCCAAUGGGUGCACGGUCUCCGUAGGAACAGCCAAUGGGAGACAUCUAAGUGGAUCCACCAGUGGAGGGGUAGCUGCUCUGAGGGAGAGCCAAUGAGCACGUUUCAUUCCUUGUUGACCUGCCAAUUGGGAAAAGAGCAGCCCUGCAUUAGAGAUGGAGAGUUCAUCAGAAUCCUAAGACUAUGAGCAACAGACUGAGUGAUUCAGACCAUGCCAGCUGCUUCCUCCAGCGGAAGUGUCACUUCCAGGGCGUUUGAGUUGGGGAGAUCCCAGCCGCUCUUUAUCCCACCUCCACCGCUUCCCUCUCACUCUCUUCCUACACUGCAACAUUGUUCUGAGGGGCAUCUGUCUGCACUUGUGUGUGUGUGUGUGUGUGUGUGUGUGUGUGUGUGUGUGUGUGUGUGUGUGUGUGUGUGUGUUCGUUGUAGCAUAAUGCAGGUCAUUUUGCUGGUAAGACACCAGAGUACUGAUGAACUAUCGUUUAUAUUGCUUGUCAGAUACACUGUAUACCAUAAACUGCUGGUUUGUGGAUAUGAUACCACUCAUGUGCUUUUGCUUGCUCUGUAGUAAUAUGUGUAAAGGGUAAUGUGGUACGUUCAUGCUAAUGCUGUAAACAUUUAAGUGCAACUCUUUUUUGUGUGUGUGGUUUUCAUACGAUUUAAUAUUUACUUUGCAUAUCCAUUGCAUAAAUGUUACUCUACUAGUCCCACCCAUUGACAUUAAGGUCUUUACAUAACAGGUGACUUAAUUCCUUAGAGCAGAUGUGUAACUUCAUUCACAUUUGAUACACCUAGGAUACAGUAUAUCAAACAUCUAAUCACAUGUAAACUGAUGUAAAGCAUUCUGUGCUAAUAUGACAAUGCAUGGAUUAUCUUAGUAGGUUUGUUGUCUGUUUUUGGACAAAUUAUUGGAGUUUUUUUUUCUCUCUUGUCCCUUGAAGAGAAAGUUUGUUCUAUGCAUUUCAUCAUUGUAUAUUUAUUUUAAAGUUGUUGUUGUGUUGUUGUUGUUGUUGUUGUUGUUGUUUUCUCAAAUCUCUUAAAUGAUUUAUUGUGUAAGACCUGUCAUGUGUGUCUGCCAUGUCUUAUUAUUCACUGUAAAUAAACAAUUGAAAAAUAA